RNAcentral lists this ribosomal RNA (493 nucleotides) under uncultured bacterium. Its description in RNAcentral is "partial 16S ribosomal RNA". It matches the Rfam family "Bacterial small subunit ribosomal RNA", at positions 28 to 523 of the family's 1533-position model. The record is from RNAcentral.
GACGAACGCUGGCGGCAUGCUUUACACAUGCAAGUCGAACGGUAACAGGUUAAGCUGACGAGUGGCGAACGGGUGAGUAAUGCGUCGGAACGUGCCCGAUCGUGGGGGAUAACGCAGCGAAAGCUGCGCUAAUACCGCAUACGAUCUGAGGAUGAAAGCGGGGGACCGUAAGGCCUCGCGCGAUCGGAGCGGCCGAUGUCAGAUUAGGUAGUUGGUGGGGUAAAGGCUCACCAAGCCAACGAUCUGUAGCUGGUCUGAGAGGACGACCAGCCACACUGGGACUGAGACACGGCCCAGACUCCUACGGGAGGCAGCAGUGGGUAAUUUUGGACAAUGGGCGAAAGCCUAAUCCAGCAAUGCCGCGUGCAGGAAGAAGGCCUUCGGGUUGUAAACUGCUUUUGUACGGAGCGAAAAGGUCUCCUCUAAUACAGGGGGCUCAUGACGGUACCGUAAGAAUAAGCACCGGCUAACUACGUGCCAGCCGCCGCGGUAA